Molecule: small nuclear RNA, 161 nt
Organism: Artibeus jamaicensis (Jamaican fruit-eating bat)
Lineage: Eukaryota; Metazoa; Chordata; Mammalia; Chiroptera; Phyllostomidae
Product: U1 spliceosomal RNA
Exons: 1
Source: RefSeq, a predicted model, not a curated record
ACACUUACCUGGCAGGGGAAAUACCAUGAUCACAGGGUGGUUUCCCAGGGUUAAGCUCACCCAUUGCACUCCAAAUAUGCUGACUCCUGGGAUUUCCCAAAUGCAAGAAACUUGACUGCAUAAUUUGUGGUAUUAGGGGACUGGGUUCGUGCUCUCCCAUG